This 254-nucleotide ribosomal RNA is filed under the name uncultured bacterium. RNAcentral's name for it is "partial 16S ribosomal RNA". It matches the Rfam family "Bacterial small subunit ribosomal RNA", at positions 524 to 776 of the family's 1533-position model. The record is from RNAcentral.
UACGUAGGGAGCGAGCGUUGUCCGGAUUUAUUGGGCGUAAAGAGCUCGUAGGCGGUUUGGCAAGUCGGAUGUGAAAGCUCCGGGCUCAACCCGGAGACGCCAUUCGAUACUGCCAUGACUAGAGUCCGGUAGGGGGGUGUGGAAUUCCCGGUGUAGCGGUGAAAUGCGUAGAUAUCGGGAGGAACAUCAGUGGCGAAGGCGGCCUUCUGGUCCAGUACUGACACUCAAGUGCGAAAGCGUGGGGAGCAAACAGG